This 459-nucleotide long non-coding RNA is filed under the name Homo sapiens (human). RNAcentral describes it as "non-protein coding lnc-TBXAS1-3:2". Lineage: Eukaryota; Metazoa; Chordata; Mammalia; Primates; Hominidae. The record is from RNAcentral.
GGCUCGCGGAGAAUAAAGGAGCGUGGGGUGGGCGCGGAAAGAAAUGGGAAGGGGCGCGGGGCGGAGAGCGAAGUGGAAAGGAGGUGCUCCGAAAGGAGACAUAUACUGCCUGGACUGCCUGGCUGAUGUGAGCUAGUUUGUCUGGUUGAGUUGGAUGUUUAAAUAGAAGGCAGAACAACAACAGAAGCUUUGAGGAAGAGCCAUAACUACCUGGAGCAGAAUGAUUAUUUGGAGCCACAGAAAAUCAUUUUAGGGAGCAGUGGGUCCAGGUUCAGUGUUGUGUGUUCAACUCGGAAAGAACACAGUUGGGUGGCUGACCGGGUUACUUCUCCCCUGUGGCUCUGCUUGCAUUGGUCAUUGAGGUCAGGCAGGGGUUUGGCCACAGUGUUAGCCAUUGGCCCUGCAUUGAUCCUCACAUAGUAACAUCUUGUUUGGUUAUUAAAGUGACUGAAUUGUUGG